Molecule: ribosomal RNA, 443 nt
Filed under: uncultured bacterium
Lineage: Bacteria
Description: partial 16S ribosomal RNA
Rfam family: Bacterial small subunit ribosomal RNA
Source: RNAcentral
CCUACGGGUGGCAGCAGUGGGGAAUAUUGGGCAAUGGGCGCAAGCCUGACCCAGCAACGCCGCGUGAAGGAAGAAGGCUUUCGGGUUGUAAACUUCUUUUGUCAGGGACGAAGCAAGUGACGGUACCUGACGAAUAAGCCACGGCUAACUACGUGCCAGCAGCCGCGGUAAUACGUAGGUGGCAAUCGUUAUCCGGAUUUAUUGGGUGUAAAGGGCGUGUAGGCGGGAAUGCAAGUCAGAUGUGAAAACUAUGGGCACAACCCAUAGCCUGCAUUUGAAACUGUAUGUCUUGAGUGCUGGAGAGGCAAUCGGAAUUCGGGGUGUAGCGGUGAAAUGCGUAGAUAUCUGGAGGAACAUCAGUGGCGAAGGCGACUAUCUGGCACAUAACUGACGCUGAGGAGCGAAAGCGUGGGUAGCAAACAGGAUUAGAUACCCCAGUAGUC